This 500-nucleotide ribosomal RNA is filed under the name uncultured bacterium. Its description in RNAcentral is "partial 16S ribosomal RNA". It matches the Rfam family "Bacterial small subunit ribosomal RNA", at positions 30 to 523 of the family's 1533-position model. The record is from RNAcentral.
AUUGAACGCUGGCGGAAUGCUUUACACAUGCAAGUCGAACGGCAGCACGGACUUCGGUCUGGUGGCGAGUGGCGAACGGGUGAGUAAUGUAUCGGAACGUGCCCAGUCGUGGGGGAUAACGUAGUGAAAAUUACGCUAAUACCGCAUACGAGCUAUGAAUGAAAGCGGGGGAUCGCACAACCUCGCGAGAUUGGAGCGGCAGAUAUCAGAUUAGGUAGUUGGUGGGGUAAAGGCCCACCAAGCCAACGAUCGGUAGCUGGUCUGAGAGGACGACCAGCCACACUGGAACUGAGACACGGUCCAGACUCCUACGGGAGGCAGCAGUGGGGAAUUUUGGACAAUGGGCGAAAGCCUGAUCCAGCCAUUCCGCGUGCAGGAUGAAGGCCCUCGGGUUGUAAACUGCUUUUGUACAGAACGAAAAGGUUUCUACUAAUACUAGGAGCUCAUGACGGUACUGUAAGAAUAAGCACCGGCUAACUACGUGCCAGCAGCCGCCGUAA